UGCCCUACGGGACGCAGCAGUGGGGGAUAUUGCACAAUGGGGGAAACCCUGAUGCAGCGACGCCGCGUGUGGGAAGACGGUCUUCUGGAUUGUAAACCACUGUCCCCAGGGACGAAAAUGACGGUACCUGGGGAGGAAGCUCCGGCUAACUACGUGCCAGCAGCCGCGGUAAUACGUAGGGAGCAAGCGUUGUCCGGAUUUACUGGGUGUAAAGGGAGCGUAGACGGCAGCGCAAGUCUGGAGUGAAAUGCCGGGGCUCAACCCCGGAACUGCUUUGGAAACUGUGCAGCUAGAGUGCGGGAGAG
RNAcentral lists this ribosomal RNA (305 nucleotides) under uncultured bacterium. RNAcentral describes it as "bacterial SSU rRNA". It matches the Rfam family "Bacterial small subunit ribosomal RNA", at positions 335 to 656 of the family's 1533-position model. The record is from RNAcentral.